UGGGGAAUUUUGGACAAUGGGCGAAAGCCUGAUCCAGCAAUGCCGCGUGUGUGAAGAAGGCCUUCGGGUUGUAAAGCACUUUUGUCCGGAAAGAAAUCCUUGGCUCUAAUACAGUCGGGGGAUGACGGUACCGGAAGAAUAAGCACCGGCUAACUACGUGCCAGCAGCCGCGGUAAUACGUAGGGUGCAAGCGUUAAUCGGAAUUACUGGGCGUAAAGCGUGCGCAGGCGGUUUGCUAAGACCGAUGUGAAAUCCCCGGGCUCAACCUGGGAACUGCAUUGGUGACUGGCAGGCUAGAGUAUGGCAGAGGGGGGUAGAAUUCCACGUGUAGCAGUGAAAUGCGUAGAGAUGUGGAGGAAUACCGAUGGCGAAGGCAGCCCCCUGGGCAAGUACUGACGCUCAUGCACGAAAGCGUGGGGAGCAAACGGAUUAAUACCCUGGGUAGUCCACGCCCUAAAACGAUGUNAACUAGUUGUUGGGGAUUCAUUUUCCUUAGUAACGUAGCUAACGCGUG
Molecule: ribosomal RNA, 514 nt
Filed under: uncultured bacterium
Lineage: Bacteria
Description: partial 16S ribosomal RNA
Rfam family: Bacterial small subunit ribosomal RNA
Source: RNAcentral